Molecule: transfer RNA, 73 nt
Organism: Ovis aries (sheep)
Lineage: Eukaryota; Metazoa; Chordata; Mammalia; Artiodactyla; Bovidae
Rfam family: tRNA
About the family: Transfer RNA (tRNA) molecules are approximately 80 nucleotides in length.
Source: Rfam
UCCCUGAUAAUCCAGUGGUUAGGACUUUGCCCUUACACUGCAGUUGUCAUGGGUUCAAUCCCUGGUUGGGGAA